AUUGCCCUAGUAACGGCGAGUGAAGCGGCAACAGCUCAAAUUUGAAAUCUGGCCCUUGUGGUCCGAGUUGUAAUUUGUAGAGGAUGCUUUUGGUGAGGUACCUUCCGAGUUCCCUGGAACGGGACGCCAUAGAGGGUGAGAGCCCCGUCUGGUUGGAUACCGAUCCUCUGUAAAGCUCCUUCGACGAGUCGAGUAGUUUGGGAAUGCUGCUCUAAAUGGGAGGUAUAUGUCUUCUAAAGCUAAAUAUUGGCCAGAGACCGAUAGCGCACAAGUAGAGUGAUCGAAAGAUGAAAAGCACUUUGAAAAGAGGGUUAAAUAGUACGUGAAAUUGUUGAAAGGGAAGCGCUUGUGACCAGACUUGGGCUUGGUUAAUCAUCCAGGGUUCUCCCUGGUGCACUUGGCCAGCCCAGGCCAGCAUCAGUUUGUCGCGGGGGAUAAAGGCGUUGGGAAUGUGGCUCCCCCGGGAGUGUUAUAGCCCUUCGUGUAAUACCCUGCUUUAGACUGAGGUUCGCGCAUCUGCAAGGAUGCUGGCGUAAUGGUCAUCAGCGACCCGUCUUGAAACACGGACCAAGGAGUCGUCUUCGUAUGCGAGUGUUCGGGUGUCAAACCCCUACGCGUAAUGAAAGUGAACGCAGGUGAGAGCUUCGGCGCAUCAUCGACCGAUCCUGAUGUUCUCGGAUGGAUUUGAGUAAGAGCAUACGGGGCCGGACCCGAAAGAAGGUGAACUAUGCCUGUGUAGGGUGAAGCCAGAGGAAACUCUGGUGGAGGCUCGCAGCGGUUCUGACGUGCAAAUCGAUCGUCAAACAUGGGCA
RNAcentral lists this ribosomal RNA (812 nucleotides) under Nectria cinnabarina. RNAcentral's name for it is "partial large subunit ribosomal RNA". It matches the Rfam family "Eukaryotic large subunit ribosomal RNA", at positions 74 to 917 of the family's 3401-position model. Lineage: Eukaryota; Fungi; Ascomycota; Sordariomycetes; Hypocreales; Nectriaceae. The record is from RNAcentral.